RNAcentral lists this ribosomal RNA (497 nucleotides) under uncultured bacterium. Its description in RNAcentral is "partial 16S ribosomal RNA". It matches the Rfam family "Bacterial small subunit ribosomal RNA", at positions 28 to 507 of the family's 1533-position model. The record is from RNAcentral.
GAUGAACGCUGGCGGCGUGCCUAAUACAUGCAAGUCGAGCGAACAGACGAGGAGCUUGCUCCUCUGACGUUAGCGGCGGACGGGUGAGUAACACGUGGAUAACCUACCUAUAAGACUGGGAUAACUUCGGGAAACCGGAGCUAAUACCGGAUAAUAUAUUGAACCGCAUGGUUCAAUAGUGAAAGACGGUUUUGCUGUCACUUAUAGAUGGAUCCGCGCCGCAUUAGCUAGUUGGUAAGGUAACGGCUUACCAAGGCAACGAUGCGUAGCCGACCUGCGAGGGUGAUCGGCCACAUUGGAAGUGAGACACGGUCCAGACUCCUACGGGAGGCAGCAGUAGGGAAUCUUCCGCAAUGGGCGAAAGCCUGACGGAGCAACGCCGCGUGAGUGAUGAAGGUCUUCGGAUCGUAAAACUCUGUUAUUAGGGAAGAACAAAUGUGUAAGUAACUAUGCACGUCUUGACGGUACCUAAUCAGAAAGCCACGGCUAACUACGUG